This 30-nucleotide non-coding RNA is filed under the name Rattus norvegicus (Norway rat). The record is from RNAcentral. Lineage: Eukaryota; Metazoa; Chordata; Mammalia; Rodentia; Muridae.
UGACAAUCAUUUCACAUUUCUGGGUACAGC